GACGAACGCUGGCGGCGUGCUUAACACAUGCAAGUCGAACGGAAAGGCCUGCUUUCCCUUGUGGAUUGCGGGUACUCGAGUGGCGAACGGGUGAGUAACACGUGAGUGAUCUGCCCCCAACUUGGGUAUAAGCCUGGGAAACUGGGUCUAAUUCCCGAUAGGACUGCAGGGUGGUGCCUGUGGUGGAAAACGAUUUUCUAGUGGUUGGGGAUGAGCUCGCGGCCUAUCAGCUUGUUGGUGGGGUAAUGGCCUACCAAGGCGGCGACGGGUAGCCGGCCUGAGAGGGUGGACGGCCACAUUGGGACUGAGAUACGGCCCAGACUCCGACGGGAGGCAGCAGUGGGGAAUAUUGCACAAUGGGCGGAAGCCUGAUGCAGCGACGCCGCGUGGGGGAUGACGGCCUUCGGGUGGUAAACUCCUUUCGACCGCGAGGAAGCCACCUGGUUGGAAGGGUGGUGACGGUAGUGGUAGAAGAAGCACCGGCUAACUACGUG
This 494-nucleotide ribosomal RNA is filed under the name uncultured bacterium. RNAcentral describes it as "partial 16S ribosomal RNA". It matches the Rfam family "Bacterial small subunit ribosomal RNA", at positions 28 to 507 of the family's 1533-position model. The record is from RNAcentral.